UACGUAGGUGGCAAGCGUUAUCCGGAUUUAUUGGGCGUAAAGGGAACGCAGGCGGUCUUUUAAGUCUGAUGUGAAAGCCUACGGCUUAACCGGAGUAGUGCAUUGGAAACUGGGAGACUUGAGUGCAGAAGAGGAGAGUGGAACUCCAUGUGUAGCGGUGAAAUGCGUAGAUAUAUGGAAGAACACCAGUGGCGAAAGCGGCUCUCUGGUCUGUAACUGACGCUGAGGUUCGAAAGCGUGGGUAGCAAACAGG
This 253-nucleotide ribosomal RNA is filed under the name uncultured bacterium. RNAcentral's name for it is "partial 16S ribosomal RNA". It matches the Rfam family "Bacterial small subunit ribosomal RNA", at positions 524 to 776 of the family's 1533-position model. The record is from RNAcentral.